AACCUGUUUUAUAAUCGAUAAUCCACGAUGGACCUUACUUAAAUUUGUAUUCAGCUUAUAUACCGUCGUUAUUAGAAUAUUUUAUUAGAAAGUUAAUUUUCAAGAUUUUUAUAAGAAAAGAUAUCAGAUCAAGGUGUAGUUUAUGUUUAAGUAAAAAUGGGUUACAAUAAAAUUAUUUAAAUGAAUAUAAAUUUGAAAUUUUUAUUGAAGGUGGAUUUGAUAGUAAAAUUAUAAAGAUUAAUAAUUUGAUUUAAGCUCUAAAAUAUGCACACAUCGCCCGUCACUCUUACUAUUAAGGUAAGAUAAGUCGUAAC
RNAcentral lists this ribosomal RNA (314 nucleotides) under Blaesoxipha rufipes. RNAcentral describes it as "partial 12S ribosomal RNA". The record is from RNAcentral. Lineage: Eukaryota; Metazoa; Arthropoda; Insecta; Diptera; Sarcophagidae.